AUUUGUCUGGUUAAUUCCGAUAACGAACGAGACCUUAACCUGCUAACUAGUUCUCAAUACUCUGUAUUCUGCAACUUCUUAGAGGGACUAUGUAAAUCAAUUACAUGGAAGUUUGAGGCAAUAACAGGUCAGUGAUGCCCUUAUAUGUCCUGGGCUGCACGCGUGCUACACUGAUGCAUACAACAAGUGCCUAGCCAGACAUGGUAUGGCAAUCUCGAAUAUGCAUCGUGAUGGGGAUAGAUCUUUGCAAUUAUAGAUCUUGAACGAGGAAUUCCUAGUAAGUGCAAGUCAUCAUCUUGCAUUGACUAUGUCCCUGCCCUUUGUACACACCGCCCGUCGCUCCUACCGAUACCGGGUGAUCCGGUGAACCUUUUGGACUCCGUAUGGGGGAAGAUAAGUAAGCCAUAUCACCUAGAGGAAGGAGAAGUCGUAACAAGGUUUCCGUAGGUGAACCUGCRGAAGGAUCA
Molecule: ribosomal RNA, 467 nt
Filed under: uncultured ciliate
Lineage: Eukaryota; Ciliophora
Description: SSU rRNA
Rfam family: Eukaryotic small subunit ribosomal RNA
Source: RNAcentral